GACUGUAGGGGAGCUGCCCUCAAGCUAGCCCUCACCCUGUCCUACCUGUGGACCAGUUAGGUUGGGCAUAUACAAAUGGAGUAGACAUAUGGCUCUCCCCCUAAGGAGACUGUUCCUCCAAACUUUCAGCCUGGGCCACAGUGGGCAUAGACACCUCCCCUGAGGAACUCUUGGCAUAUUUGCAAGCCCAGGCUGAUGAAAAGACUCCAUGGCUACUCUACUACGUUGAUCUUCCUGUCCCCAUACCUCUUCUCUCUAAUUUCAUAGAAUGGAAGGAGUGGUUAGAGGCAGACUCCCUGUCUAAGCAGCUACAUCAAGGCCUGGACCUUAAAGAGAGCCUGGCUGCACGGGUGAGGGAGGCCAUCCAGCGCCUAGAGACCCUGGAGUAGGCCAAGAGAGCCGCCCGGGGCUGGCACUGUCACCACCCACUGUCGCUGUGGCUCCUCCACCUGUCACCCUGAAGACAGCCUGCUGGACACAGGCUGCUGGACAUCAGCCGAAGCCCUAGCAGACAAAUUAAAUAUGAGAGGAAAGUUGGACCAUGUUUUGCUUUGACCAUUUAGGCAGACCUAUUUUUGUUGAAGUAAAUUGACUCUUGUUAUACUUUGGGAUUUCAAGACUGGUGUUGAUGUAUGUGAAAGGUGGGAUAUGACUUUGCAAAAAAGUGACAGUGCCCUUUUCGAUUGAACAUGUACUCCUUAAUAACAGGGUCCUGUGUGGCUUAGUUGGUAGAGCAUGGUGCUUGCGUUCGAUUCCCAUGGGGGACCAGUACAAAAAAAUGUAUGCACCCGCAACUCGUAAGUUGCUCUGUAUAAGAGCAUCUGCCCAAUGACUAAAAUGUGACUCACUUAUCUAGCAUUACAUUACAAUAGGGGUUGAGGUUGUGUCAUUUCUCUUAAAUCUGCAUUUACCAACUGGUUUCUCAUGAGCAGACACCGACCUCAUCAAUUGAGGACACUAUCGGAUAUGGCGUGAUCCGAAGUUGGAAUGUAGUUUUGGGACCCAUCUGUCCAUGGCGCUUGCUGUGAUGCCAUGUUCUGGACACUUCAUGAGUGGCCCAGUGUCACCUUUGCUCUGGUUGUGGCCUUACAAUCAUCAAGAUGAAUCAAAACCAGGUGACUGACCAAUAGGUUUCAUAAUUUGUAUGGGGCUUUAUAAGAUAUUUCUCCAUACAGUAUCAGUAGUAGACGAUACACAUCAGCAUAAUUAAUAUUGAAGAAUGAAUAUAACUUGCAACAAUGAUUGAGAUAGUAAUUUUUAUGUCAACCGCUGCCGCCUCUGCUGCAGUGCACUGUGGACAUGCAGUAGCUGUUUCACCAAGGCUUCAGUAGGUGAUCAUGCAGCUGUUGACUGCCCUGUACAGGAUUCACCAACCUCGACGAUGUUGUCCAUGGAGUGUAGCGUGGAGAAGAUUCACGCGCCGAAACUGACGAGAGCUCACUUUCCAUGAACGGGCAGAUACUUAGAUAUUUCAGAUAGGAAACUGCUUUUUCUGUGCAUCGGUAGUAAAUGGUAAUCGUGGGAAAUGUGGUAUAUUUUUGAACACCCAAAUAGUUUUUCAGCACCAAAAUAUAUAUUCCUUGACUUUACAUUUUUUUACAGUGAAGUUUUACAUCAACUAGCUAUGUUUUAUGCAGUUUAUUGAAUGGUUUGGAACAUGAAACCUGACCUGUACUAUUAGCGAUCACAAAUCUUUAUGUAUUAUAUAUUUUAUUGACAUGUAGGGCUGGUUUCCCGUGCACAGAUUAACGUUAGUCCAGAACUAAAAAGCUUUCUCAAUGGCGAUUCCCUAUUAAAAACUUUUAUAUUCCAGGA
Oncorhynchus gorbuscha (pink salmon) is the source of this 1815-nucleotide long non-coding RNA. RefSeq lists it as uncharacterized. Lineage: Eukaryota; Metazoa; Chordata; Actinopteri; Salmoniformes; Salmonidae. The transcript has 3 exons. The record is from RefSeq and is a predicted model, not a curated record.